This 497-nucleotide ribosomal RNA is filed under the name uncultured bacterium. Its description in RNAcentral is "partial 16S ribosomal RNA". It matches the Rfam family "Bacterial small subunit ribosomal RNA", at positions 28 to 507 of the family's 1533-position model. The record is from RNAcentral.
GAUGAACGCUGGCGGCGUGCCUAAUACAUGCAAGUCGAGCGAACGGACGAGAAGCUUGCUUCUCUGAUGUUAGCGGCGGACGGGUGAGUAACACGUGGAUAACCUACCUAUAAGACUGGGAUAACUUCGGGAAACCGGAGCUAAUACCGGAUAAUAUUUUGAACCGCAUGGUUCAAAAGUGAAAGACGGUCUUGCUGUCACUUAUAGAUGGAUCCGCGCUGCAUUAGCUAGUUGGUAAGGUAACGGCUUACCAAGGCAACGAGGCAUAGCCGACCUGAGAGGGUGAUCGGCCACACUGGAGCUGAGCCACGGUCCAGACUCCUACGGGAGGCAGCAGACGGGAAUCUUCCGCAGUGGGCGAGAGCCUGACGGAGCAGCGCCGCGUGAGUGAUGAAGGUCCUCGGAUCGUAAAGCUCUGUUAUGAGGGAAGAACAUAUGUGUAAGUAACUGUGCACAGCUUGACGGUACCUAAUCAGAAAGCAACGGCUAACUACGUG